GAUGAAGAAUGUAGCGAAAUGCGAUACGUGAUGUGAAUUGCAGAAUUCAGUGAAUCAUCGAAUCUUUGAACGCAUAUUGCGCUCUCUGGUAUUCCGGAGAGCAUGCUUGUUUGAGUAUCAGUAAACACCUCAACUCCCUUUUCUUUUUUGAAAUUGGAGCUGGACUUGAGUGAUCCCAACGCUUUCUUCCAAGAAAGUGGCGGGUUGCUUGAAAUGCAGGUGCAGCUGAACUUUUCUCUGAGCUAUAAGCAUAUCUAUUUAGUCUGCCUAAAAAACAGAUUAUUACCUUUGCUGCAGCUAACAUAAAGGAGACUAGUUCUUGUGCUGACUGAUGCAGGAUUCACAGAGACAGCUUCGGCUGACUUUGUAAACUCGAUCUCAAAUCAAGUAAGACUACCCGCUGAACUUAAGCAUAUCAAUAAGCGGAGGA
This 430-nucleotide unclassified non-coding RNA is filed under the name soil metagenome. RNAcentral's name for it is "partial contains 5.8S ribosomal RNA, internal transcribed spacer 2, and large subunit ribosomal RNA". The stretch from base 1 to 120 matches the Rfam family "5.8S ribosomal RNA", at positions 35 to 154 of the family's 154-position model. The record is from RNAcentral.